This 72-nucleotide transfer RNA is filed under the name Homolaphlyctis polyrhiza JEL 142. RNAcentral's name for it is "tRNA-Pro (TGG) (tRNA-Pro-TGG-2-1)". It matches the Rfam family "tRNA". Rfam says of the family: Transfer RNA (tRNA) molecules are approximately 80 nucleotides in length. Their secondary structure includes four short double-helical elements and three loops (D, anti-codon, and T loops). Further hydrogen bonds mediate the characteristic L-shaped molecular structure. tRNAs have two regions of fundamental functional importance: the anti-codon, which is responsible for specific mRNA codon recognition, and the 3' end, to which the tRNAs corresponding amino acid is attached (by aminoacyl-tRNA synthetases). tRNAs cope with the degeneracy of the genetic code in two manners: having more than one tRNA (with a specific anti-codon) for a particular amino acid; and 'wobble' base-pairing, i.e. permitting non-standard base-pairing at the 3rd anti-codon position. Lineage: Eukaryota; Fungi; Chytridiomycota; Chytridiomycetes; Rhizophydiales. The record is from RNAcentral.
UAGAAUGUAGUUCAAUGGUAGAAUAUUAGUUUUGGGAGCUAAUGGUUAUAGGUUCAAAUCCUAUCAUUCUGA